This 1126-nucleotide long non-coding RNA is filed under the name Canis lupus familiaris (dog). RNAcentral's name for it is "lncRNA (ENSCAFG00000056771.1, ENSCAFG00805030770.1, ENSCAFG00845029802.1)". The record is from RNAcentral. Lineage: Eukaryota; Metazoa; Chordata; Mammalia; Carnivora; Canidae.
UUUUUUUUUUUUUUUGAUGUUUGGCAAUGUAGCAUCUUUAUGAUAUUUGGUUAUGGCAAUGUAGCUCGGCUGGGUGGAAGGAAAACACCUAAAAACCCCAAACCCAUCAGUUUUACAAUAGUGUUUCAAUAGGGUUUCUGCUGAGAUUUAGAGCAGUACUAAGUGCCCUUUUGUGGCAACAUCCAUACAGGUAUUCAUUGAGUACUUUGCAAAAUGAUGUGGGUAAAUGAUAUACAACUCAAAUAAAACAAAAAAGACUAGUCAAGUUGAAAUCCUGUUAAUGCCAGAAAACCCAGCACGGAGCAAAUAUUUUCAUGUGAUAAUUUAAAUGGUGGCCUAAUAUAACCAAGAUACGCAGUGGGAGAGUUGUUUAUCCUCUGUCCUCUAAUGUGGUUGUCCUAGAAAGACGUUCACUUUUAAGGAUGGCAUUUAAUUAAGACUGUAAAUUACAGAAGAUGUAAGAAUGGUCACAAAACCAAAAGUCAGGGGAAAAUGCCACCUUGACUCUCUUCUGCCCUCUGCUGGGUGGUGCAUAUAUAUCCUUCUUGUGCAGGGGGGCAGGGGGAGGGGGGAAGGUGUGCAUUUCUCCUGUUUGAUUCCUCCCAGAAAACAAUGCUAAGGCGGGUCUGGAUGUGAUAAAUAUCUCCAUUCUGGUGAACCUUGGAGAUAAAUAUGGGAGUGAAUGGGGUGUUUAUUUCUUUUCUUUUACUAGUUAUAAAAUUAUGAUAAGACAUACAUAACACAAAGUCUACCCUUUUCACCCAAUAUACGUGUACAGUUCAGUGGUAUUAAGUACAGUCAGCUCCACCACCACCAUCCAUCACCAGAACUUGUUUCAUCUUGCCAAACUGAAAUCCUACACCCAUUACCCAUGAGCCCCUCCACUUCUCCCGUCCCCCAGCCCUGGCAACAGCCACUUACCUUUCUGUCUCUAAAGAAUUUGGCUACUCUAGGUACCUCGUGUAGUAUUCGUCCUUUAGAGAUCUGGUGUUGAUUUGUUAAACUCAUAAUGAAAUAGGAAAAGCACAUCUAGGCUAUAAAGAGGAGAGAGGAAAGUAAAAGAGUGCAUCAUAGCAUCUGGAAAGCACACGAAGGAGGCAAGGAGUUAACAUAGACAAAGCAGCAG